This 72-nucleotide transfer RNA is filed under the name Haemaphysalis longicornis (longhorned tick). It matches the Rfam family "tRNA". From Rfam's summary of the family: Transfer RNA (tRNA) molecules are approximately 80 nucleotides in length. Their secondary structure includes four short double-helical elements and three loops (D, anti-codon, and T loops). The record is from Rfam by way of RNAcentral. Lineage: Eukaryota; Metazoa; Arthropoda; Arachnida; Ixodida; Ixodidae.
GCCGCUAUAGCUCACUGGUAGAGCGCUGGUCUCGUAAACCAGAGGCCGUGAGUUAAAUCCUCACUGGCGGCA